AGGACGAACGCUGGCGGCGUGCUUAACACAUGCAAGUCGAGCGAGGCCCUCUCUUCGGAGAGGUGCCCUAGCGGCGAACAGGUGAGUAACACGUGGGCAACCUGCCCCUAGCACUGGGAUAAGCCCGGGAAACCGGGUCUAAUACCGGAUAUGACCUUCAAGGGCAUCCUCGAAGGUGUAAAGGAUUCUGGCUAGGGAUGGGCCCGCGGCCUAUCAGCUUGUUGGUGGGGUAAUGGCCCACCAAGGCAACGACGGGUAGCCGGCCUGAGAGGGCGACCGGCCACACUGGGACUGAGACACGGCCCAGACUCCUACGGGAGGCAGCAGUGGGGAAUAUUGCACAAUGGGCGAAAGCCUGAUGCAGCGACGCCGCGUGAGGGAUGACGGCCUUCGGUUGUAACCUCUUUCAGCUCCGACGAAGCGAAGUGACGGUAGGAGCAGAAGAAGCGACCGCCAACUACGCGCCAGCAGCCGCGGU
This 478-nucleotide ribosomal RNA is filed under the name uncultured bacterium. RNAcentral describes it as "SSU rRNA". It matches the Rfam family "Bacterial small subunit ribosomal RNA", at positions 26 to 521 of the family's 1533-position model. The record is from RNAcentral.